GUGUCGUGAGAUGUUGGGUUAAGUCGCCGCAACGAGCGCAACCNUUAUUGUCAGUUGCCAGCAUUUAGUUGGGCANUNUGGNGAGANUGCCGGUGACAAACCGGAGGAAGGUGGGGAUGACGUCAAAUCAUCAUGCCCCUUAUGACCUGGGCUACACACGUGCUACAAUGGACGGUACAACGAGUCGCGAAACCGNGAGGUCAAGCUAAUCUCUUAAAGCCGUUCUCAGUUCGGAUUGUAGGNUGCAACUCGCCUACAUGAAGUUGGAAUUGCUAGUAAUCGUGGAU
This 287-nucleotide ribosomal RNA is filed under the name Lentilactobacillus hilgardii. RNAcentral's name for it is "Lactobacillus hilgardii partial 16S ribosomal RNA". It matches the Rfam family "Bacterial small subunit ribosomal RNA", at positions 1062 to 1349 of the family's 1533-position model. The record is from RNAcentral. Lineage: Bacteria; Bacillati; Bacillota; Bacilli; Lactobacillales; Lactobacillaceae.